This 228-nucleotide long non-coding RNA is filed under the name Capsicum annuum. Its description in RNAcentral is "long non-coding RNA (CANN_LNC002689)". Lineage: Eukaryota; Viridiplantae; Streptophyta; Magnoliopsida; Solanales; Solanaceae. The record is from RNAcentral.
UUUUUUCCUGCCACCAUGGUGAAUUUAAAUGCAUUUGCUAUGAUAGCAGGGUUUCUGGAAAGCUUGCUAUGGUGUGAGUCUCUGAUUGGUAGACUGUGCUAUGUUUGCUAAAAUGUAAUUCUCCUAUAUGGCGGAUUAUUGAUUUGUUAUGUGCAUUCCUUGAUUUGUGGAAGGGUGCUCCCCUUGCUGGUGUGCAACUCUCGAUAUGGCAGAGAGUUGCAUUGCUCA